GACCUUUGAAAAACUUUCUGUUCCAAAUUUUUCUCCUCCUUCUUCACACCCCCUCUCCUAGAUGGCAAGUAUCUCCCUAGUCUUACAUCAAAAUUUAUUAUUCCUGCUAAUGGUGCCAUCGAUGUCCUGGUUACCUAGGCUUGAAAUCUUGUCCUUCCCAAGCUUUUUCACCUUUACAAGUCCUGUCUAGUCUUCCUUAGUAAUUUCUCUUUUCCAUCCCCAACUUGUAUUAUCUGAGUUGAUAAUUUUAGCACUGAGUCCAGUUCAGCCUCCUCUUAUUUUACAGAUGGGGGAAGUGAGGUCCAGAGAGCAACAUACAGGUAGUAAGUAUGGAGAAAUUAGGUAGAAGAUGUGUCUCUGAACUGCUCGAACAUAUAGAAUAGUUCCCAGUUACUUGCAAGAUCAAGCCUAAGGCAUUCUAAUUUCUCUAUGAUUCCAAAUCUCUUUCCAAUCUUGUUUCUUACUGGUUAUAUACCCACCAGCAUAGUCCUCUACAGGAUAUAGGACUCUUGUCAACUUUAGCCUUAUUUUGGACUCACCUUCUCAGAUAAUACGAAACCUAAGAUUCUAUAGAGAAAAAAAAAGGAGGAAAGAGCAAUUGGGGUUAAGUGAAUUUCUUAGGAUCAUGCAGCUAGUAUCUGAGGCUGGGUUAGAACUUGACUCCUGAUUCCAGCACUGGUACUCUAAGCCCUAUAGAAAAUUUUGCCAAAAGAAAAUAAUUGUUGGCACUUGAGUUUUAAGAACAGUUUGUAUACGUUGUCUCAUUUGAUCCUCUUCAUGCCACAGUGACAUCCAUUUUAUAAAUGAGGAAAUUGAGAUCGUAGGUAACUUGUCCAUAGUUAAGUGUACAGACCUAGGACUCUUGACUAAUUAGUCUAAUACUGUCCACUAGACCACACUGCCUCUCACUGUCAUAUUGCCUGGUUGCAUCUAGUAGAACUCUGCGGGCCUGCAAGCAGACAGGGGAGAUGGGCUUGUGUAAGGUUCUCAGUCCUGCAGAUGAGAAAAAAGAUUCUGUGAGGGGUCCCCCAACCAACCUGUCCCAUCCGUCUUUGUCACCAGGUUAAGUGGAAAGAGCAUUAGAGAGAAGACCAGCUUUUUGGUCCUGAUUCCAAUACUGACUGCCUCAGUUUCCUCACUUGUAAAUUGGACUGAAGCCUCUCAGUGCUACUUACUCACAGGGCUCUUGUAAGGAAACCUCUGUAAACCCCUAAGGCAUUUCAUACAUAUAUAUGUGGUGUGUGUAUGCGUGUGUGUGUGUGUGUGUGUGUGAAGGGUGGUUGGAGCAGCAUUUAAGCACGAGGCAGUGACUGGGGCACUCACAAAGGCAGGACACAGAGGAUUAGGGAGAGUUCAUCAGUUCUCUGUAAGUCCCAAUGAGAGCCCAAUUAAUUUUCCUCAAAAAUCUCUCCUCCCAAAGUGUUGGUACGGACUGUCUGGUUCCUGAAGCCCUGGGGAUGGAAGGAGUCCAGAGCCCUUCCCUGUCAUUUCUGGGGCUUUCAGGAAUUGACAAACAGCCGUUGGUAAUUGUGGGAAGGGAGGGAGGUGCGCUGAUGGGGGACACUGGCUUCUUUCUUUCAUCCCCCCUGGAAGAUUACUCGCUGUACAUGAGCCCUGCGAGGAAGCUUUCAGCCUCUUGUCCUGUACUCCAUCGACAUGAAAAUUAGCUUCUCUGGGGUCAUAUGGAGGAAAGGCCUGGACCUUGAGUCUCAGGGUCAGAAAGCACAAGAGCCCAGUAUCUACCUCAGAGAAGAAAACGCCAGUUCUUGAGGUUUAGACAUGAAACCUGCCAAAUAGUAUUUUUUCCCUAGAUCUUCACAUUCCCUCCCCCAAAUGUCAGGAGUAUUUCUUGGGUUAGAAAUCCUCUGGGGAAUUUUCCUGUAGCCCUAUUGGCCAGUCCUUGAGCAGGGGGCACCUUGCAGACCUCCAUCUUGGGCAGUGGGCUUUCGUAGGAAUCACUCGUGUCACCUUCAGGGAACAAACCAGCAUCUUGGGGAGGCUCAUCAGAGUCCCUGCGUUUAUUUUGUGUUUGGUUGAGAUGUCAGAGCUUGAGUCCUUGGUCUCUGUUGGACCAGGACUGAGUUCAUGGUCAGUUUCUUGGGAAACUAGCCUUGAGCCCCCAUUUUCCUUCUUUAUUCAAAUUUGGAGCAAGAUUCCACUCAGUCAUUCCUCUAUUUCUUUCAUGAUGUAAAGGGUUCUCAAUACACUGUCUUUUUUGUGUAUUGUCGAUAAAUAUUAGCUACCUACUUUGUGCAAGGGCAAGGUGCUGGAAUUACAGGAUUCUAGAUCUUUCAAGAGCUGGCUGUUCUGGACAAAAUUUUAUUUUUAUUUCCCUUUAUCCAUCAAUCUAGUUAUCCCAGAAAUGGGAGAGGAUGGGCUGCCUACUGCCCCUGAAUCCUGGCCAAACCAUUACCCAGACAGCUGGGGCCUUCCAUUUCUCUCCAUUGCUUCCCAGAGUUAUCAGAUGAGGGUAGUUCAUUUGUGGCAUGAACAGGCAUCUUCUGCUUGGGGACUCAGGAAGAGAGCCAGAUUAGGUUUUAUUUAGCUUGUUAGAAUCUUCUUUCACUAUCCCCCUUCUACACACAUACCAUGCCCUGUGAGUGAAAAUUAGAACCAGAUUUCUUAUCUUCUUGUCCCAUGGAUCAUCCUGAAGGAUCUAUGCAAAAUUUCAUCUAGAAUUUGGAGAGGAAGAAGAGAAUGUGCAGAAUUGUGAAAUUUGGCUAAAAUGACAUUCACUACAAAAAGUUAGGAAAAUGCAGUAUAAUUUUAAUAAGCUAUGCACAAGGCAUCAAGGGUACAAAGUCAAGAAUAAAUGAUCCCUGUCCUCAAGAAGUUCAUAAGUAUAGUCGAUCAUAUUCUAGAUACUCUCCUAUUUCUUCACUGUCUCCAUGGCAUUGUUAAAAAAUAUAUAUAAGGGGAGUAAUCAGGAAACCUUUGCUUUGCUGUAUCAGGACAAUCUUUUGCAGAACUGGAUUGCUUUCUGGUCUUCGCUAAGGAUUCCCCAGCUCAUUCUCUUUCUACAAAAAUGUUUAUGAGGAGUGUUUUUAAUUCUAAGACUGGUCUGUGUAGCAUCAUAUGAGCAUCUUUGCAUUUCAGAAAGCACUACAAUCCAACAGACCAGUUACUACAAGGAGACAGAAAUGUCUCCCUUUGAGGCCCCUGUGCUUCAGAUGGCCAAUCAGGAACCAAACAGAGUAGCUAAGAAUUAUGUGUCCAGGCCCAUUGCUCUGCCUUUAGCUAUUGGUCCUCAGAUGGGUUGUGAACGGUCAGUCCAGGGCUCAGCCACAUAAACCUAAGCUGCUUUUCUCCUUUUCUUUCCUUGCAGGGAUGCAGGAUUCUCUCCUCUCAGAGGGCUCAUCAGAAUGCCCAUGAUGGAUGCUGAGCCACAGAAACAUUGUUGGAGAACCUAGAACCUCCCUGGCAGGAAUAUUGGGGCCGACGGGGUGAGUGAUUUCAUCAGGGUCACGCAGUGGGUCAAGGCUGGGCGCCUGCCCCUUGGCUUCUCAAGGCCCCACCCCCAGACACCGCGGCCGCUCUCCCCCAGCAUGGGCUUGGCCAGUGAGAACUUUGCCCCUGAUGGGGCAGAAAAGCAUCUGCCAAGCCAUUGGUGAAUCCUGCCCCUCAGGCCAUGGAGUGACCCGGCUGGGCUAGCCCAGAGGGCUGUGGAUUGGCCACUGAUAGAAGAGGGCACAGGUGCUGAGGGAUUCUCACUCCAGCAGGUAGGGCUGGCAGCCUGGGGAGGCCUCUGACCAUCACCCUGACAUUUUGGGGGGUAUCCUAGAGGUCACUGGCGAUGAAGGGCAGGACGGGUCAUGAGUGGGUGCUUCGGGGUAUAGGCUCGGGAUUUAUUUCCUCUGGGGCAAAGGUAGGUCAGGCUGAACUCGACUUGAGCCUUGAAUUGUUUCAUUCCUAGGAUUCCCAUUCCUGACAAACUGGCUGCCCACUCAGGCCAGGAAGGCUGACGUCAGUGUGGCUGGGGAAGGGUCACAGGGACACGGGAGGGGCAGGACAGCCAUGGGAACUUUUUAUGGAGAGAGGAGUAACUUAUCUGAAAUAUAGAACAAGGGGAAAUGGACCUGAGUUACAGCCUGUGAAAUUUGUGCUGGCUGAAAGGAAGGACUCCUCAAUGAGGAGGGAUUGGGGGGCUUCCAGACUGAGAUACCCUGGGGAACCUCCUGAAGAGAAUCCCCCUCUUGGCUAGGGAAGGAUAACUCUUCUUGGUGGAGAUGGUGAGAAGUCUUUCAGGCAGCAAAGGGCCCCAAAUAAGGUCCCUGGAACUAGGGGGAAGGUUGCAUGAGUACAGCAAGGGUCUUAAAAAGUAUAGCAUAGAGAGAUAUAAAGGACCUUAGCGAUCAGUUAAUCUGCUUCCCCUCCAUUUUACAGAUCAACAAACUGAGGCCCCAAGGUAUUAAAAUCCACUGGAAGUCAUCAUUAAGGAGCCCAGCACUGUGUUUUGCAUAUAAUAGCCCCUGAAUAAAUGCUUAUUGGAUUGGAAUGAACUGAUUAAAUCAGCGAUCUUUGAAUUCCUGAAGUAAAUUUCUCCAGAAACCAUCUGUCAGCCUGUGUUAGAGACAUUUAUCAGGUAAUGAUCAUAACCUGUGAGUUUCUCUCCUAAGCACAGUGUUAAACUUGGGAGGAAUUGUAUUGGGCUGGGUGGGCUUCGGAAUCGUAUUCUGGUUACCCACUUUGGCCACAGACUAGCUGCAUGAGCUUGGCUUAGUCCCUUUCUACCCUUAGGGUUGGGUUUUCCUAUUUGCGGAGCAAGAGAUUAGACUAAAUUCUCUCCGAGUGAGCCCCUUCCAGCUCAGACAUUCUGUGCUUCUCUGACCAUCUGGGCAGGUUAGAACUGGUUUUAUUUCUUGGCUGGGGGAGCCAAGUGGUAAUAUUAUUUCCUUCUAGUGUUUUUGCCUUUUUCCUACUCAGCCGAGUUGCAUAGUUGCUUUGAGGCAAAGUUAAGAUGCAUUUAGCUUUGCAAAUUUGAAACUGGAGGGGUUGGCUGGGUUUCCUCCCCAGUAGAAUCUCACCACUGAGAAAUGGUGCUCCUUCCUGGAGCUCCUGAAAACAUGGAGUUAACCCAAGUUGCUCCCAUUAGAAAAAGAUUGAGUUCAGUUGGGUGUUUAUUUAUUAAAUGCCUAUUUAGAAUGUUAUAGUGGAGUCCUUUGAGAUAUGCUUCUUCUCUUAAGUAAGGUAAGUGAUGCUGUGAAUCUCCUCCAAUGUACUUUCAAGUUGGGGGUUGCUGUAGUUAGCAACAAAUGUCUGAUCUUAGCUUGAGGAGCUGGUUAAUGUGUCACAGGAAGGGGAAAUACUCCUUGUGUAGCAGGGGCUGGUGGGGGGAAUGAAUGCACCACUUAAAACAUCACCAUUAUAUCUUUGAGAGUGCUUCCAUUUAUUAAACUACACACCUGAAAGGGGUGUUUUCUUUUUUUAAUUACCUUUUAGUUUAAUUAGAUUUUCUUACACUAAUUUUUUUGGAGUUCCAAAUUCUCUCCCUCUCCUGCCUAUUGAGCAGGCAAGCAAUAAGGUACUGAAGAGAAUAAAGUCUUGUACUUUUAUUUUCCCUGAAGAAGGAACAGUAUACUCAGAUUUCAUGUAGGGGGCACAAGCUCUGAAGUUUUCGGGCCUCUGGUGGAUUUUGCUUUUCUGAACUUUUUAAGUAUAGAUUCAUAGAAUCAUAGAUCUAGAUCUUGGAAGGGACCUUGGAGUU
This is a long non-coding RNA of Sarcophilus harrisii (Tasmanian devil), 5704 nucleotides long. RefSeq lists it as uncharacterized. The record is from RefSeq and is a predicted model, not a curated record. The transcript has 3 exons. NCBI's taxonomy places the organism in Eukaryota, Metazoa, Chordata, Mammalia, Dasyuromorphia, Dasyuridae.